This 6246-nucleotide long non-coding RNA is filed under the name Sus scrofa (pig). RNAcentral's name for it is "lncRNA (ENSSSCG00035020034.1)". The record is from RNAcentral. Lineage: Eukaryota; Metazoa; Chordata; Mammalia; Artiodactyla; Suidae.
CGGUUUUGAUGACUGUUACUUUGUAGUAUAGUCUUAAGUCCAGGAGCCUGAUUCCUCUAGUUCCAUUUUUCUUUUUCAGGAUGUCUUUGGCUAUUCUGGGUCUUUUGUGCUUCCAAACAAACUUUAAAAUAUAUUUGUGCCAUAUCUUAUUUUCUACAUGUAAGUGAUAUCAAUGGUACAUGUAUACAAUGAAAUACUUCUCAGCCCUAAAAAGAGUUAAAUAAUGCCAUGCACAACAACAUGGAUGCAACUAGAGAUUGUCAUACUAAGGUGAAUUUUCUAAAUUAUAGAAUUGUUUAAUUUCAAAAAUCUCACCAGGAAAUUAUAUUAGAAACUUAGGACUCUUAUGAACAAGGCCUCGGUAAAUUCCUAGGAAGUAACAGUGGGUAGAAAGUGUGGCCUGAGAACCUGAUAUGUAAGUAUUUAUCUCUUCAAUAAUAUCCUUUCUUUUCACUACAAUUUAAGUUGUAUGAGAGCAUAGUUUUGUUUUAUUUACAAUGCAAUCCCACAACUGAAAAAGUGAACAUAGGCAGUAUUCAAUAAAUAUUUUUUUGUGAACAAAAUAAUAUUUAGAAAAAAAUUGGCUUCCUGGAAAACAUACAUCUCUAUGUGAGUUUACCUCAUCAUUCCUCACAAAAGAACUUUCAAAUUCAUUGGGCUUGGCCAGACUGCAAUCCCUAUGUGUAUAAGACAGAAGGCAAAAGCCUUACAAUAAUGAUAAUUGUUAUUAUUUAAUACUCUGUCUUUAUUUUCAGUCAAUACACAGAGGAAAUGGAUUAUGCAUUUUUGGUGAGCUUUCAAUUAUAUAUAGUAGAUAGUAAAUAUGAGAUAUGCAUAUGUUAAAGAAUUAAGACUAUUUUGACUUCCCCUGACACCUAUUUUCAGGUUUAGCUGAAAGUCUCUUUGUGACCAGGGUAUUGAAUAAUGAAAUACAUGAUUAAACAAAACUUAAGGAGUUUGUUUUCUAUUGUGGAAAUCAUACUCCAUAAAAAUCAUGCUCACACACUUUCAGAUCGAGUUUUGUUCAUAUAGCCCAUGCUGUGUGUGUGUGUGUGUGUGUGUGUUUGUGAGAAAGAGAGAGAGAGGGGGAGAGGGGGAGAGAAGGCACUAGAAGUAUCUCCAGAUGGCUAAGCUACUUUUGGGAGACUAGUUGUGUUGGACAUCCCACUUUGAACAAAGAGGGUUAUUGUCCAUCCCCUCUUAAAAUAUUACCUUUGUCAUCCUGAAAUUAAUCUUAGACUUCUUCUUUUGAAAACGUCCUUAGGGAUCAUUCUUGAAAUGAAAAUUCAUUUCCUCCAUGCUGAAUAAGUGGUCAUCUCACAAAUUCCGGGAUGAGAACAUUUUAAAAGGAGAAAUUCAAGGUUUGCAUGUUAAAUGUGAAACAGCAGCCAAAGCAAAGAGAUACUAGAAUCCAGAAAGAAUAAAGGGCAAUUGACUUUUAGAAAAUUUGAAAAAGAGAAAUGAUACCAAGUCUGAUACCAAGUUGAUCAGUGUCAGGAAACAUAACCUUUUACAUGAAAGUAAAUCGACCAACCCCCCUCCUCUCCACCUGUGUCUCUUUCACAGUCCAAUUAAAAUCACGUUUUCUUUGAACACACAGAAAAAAGAAGGAAGCGUCUGGGCACGUAAGAGACAUCAGUCGUCUGGCUCUGCCGACAGGUGCAUUUGUCAUGCCUUGGGGAGCGAUGACGCUGCUUUCACUUUAUUAAUUGAGAAGAUUAUAUACCUAUGAUAGCCACGUUUUCACAUUCCCUUUCUUGGAUGGGGGGCAGAGGAGAAAAGUGGGCAUUCUAUGGUUAAGCAGGAAAAAUAAAACCUUUUUUUUUCAGUUUUAUUGCAUUCUAAUUAAGCAUGAGGGGAGUGAGAGGUCCUACAGCAAUGCAGCAGGCUCGAAACACUGACAAGGUCAAUUAUCUCCUGAUAAGCUCUGCACCAGCAAGGAUUAAUAAUAUGACUAAUAUUAAUUGAAUGUGAGUUCAUUGAGUUUUAUUUCUUAUUUUAAAGUUCUCCUGGCUGUUGUGAACGCCGUGGUGCACAGAGAAUGAUGGAUGGAAGUGAUGGAGUCACUAAUAAGCCCUUGGACCCCCAUGGCCUGCUGCACACACAGAGAAUAGAGGUUUGAUUCUCUUUUUUGGUUUCUGGCCACCACCAUCCUGGCAGGAAGUGAAAAGGGGCUAGUUUUAUAAUGUAAUUUGUUCCACAAAUAAAGAAAGUACAAGAGACUUCAGAUCUAUGAAUUCAGAAUUUCUCAAAUGAAAAUGAAAUGCUACUAACUGAUGAUGUCCUUAAGGUGAAGCAGAUCUAGCUGAUUUGCAUAGAACAACAACAAAAAGAUUGCAGAUCCUACUUUCUUAUAUGGGCUCCAUCAUCACAGGUGAGUGGUUUAUUAUAAAAAAAAUCUACAUAAUAGUUGCUUUAAUUUUGUGCUCCUUUGUUAUAGAAUUAGGACUGUAUGUCCAUAGAUAAGACUUUGAAUAAAUUGAAAAGCAGAGGCUAAGCAUGUACUGGUAUUGGAUGUUUUAAGUGGUUUUUCCUGACUUGGGAAUUGACAAGCUGCUAUUUUCAUCCAAUUUCUUCCUCAGACAUGACAUUGCUUUGAUAUCUAGAGAUAGCUGACCUCCACUCCAUGAAUUCAUGUUUCUUCUUUGCAGAGUUGAGAGGGGCUGUAAAAGGUUUCAGUACUCUAAAAAGCACUGACAAUAUAGUAUUUCCUUUUUGUUUUGGAAACAUUGAGUCUAUAAAGUGAUAUAGCACUUUAUUUUACUGAUCCUUUGUGCUUAAAAUGCAUUCAUUUUUUUAAAAACACUGUUAAAAUGAAUGCUACUUGUGGAAAUGAAAGUGAGAGAAACAAUGGAAGUAACUGUAAGCGCAACAAGUCACAUAGGACUGAAAAGUGAUUUGAGUACAGCUUGUUGAAGCCUCAGAGGAAUUAAAUUGCAUAUAUUUUAAACAUAAUGUCAACCCACAAUUUAACGCAUCUUUAAAUUAUUCCUCCCUGCCUCAGCUAAAUGUGAAACCUUCCUCCUCUGAACUCAAAGACCAAAAAUCUACUAACUUUAAUUUGGGCAUCAGAUUUGCUAUAUGUAUCUCUGUCAUAUUACAGUUCAAACCAUAUGUAAGUGUGAGUUUGACCUUUCAGGUGCGUGGUUUUAUCUACUCCACAGAUAAAUUCCUUGAAUAUGGGGCAAUUUCUUUAACAAUCUCAUAUGCUGCAGAGUACUAGGCAAAGUAGAGAAUGAACUAGGUGCUAAAUAUUUCAUUAGGUAAAUAAUGCUUCAACUUUUUCAGCAGGAGGACUAUGAUGAGGAAAUUAGUGAUAGGCAUAUGCAAUGAGUAUGUGGAGGUGUUUUUCUCCAGGUGUUCCUGGCAGAGAAUCACCUGGAUUUAGCAAAUAAUGAUCAUACUGGGAUGAGGGGUGGGAAUCAUAGGACAUGGUACCUAUUAUUGGAAACUGACCCAUCAUAUCAUAGAGGAGGGUUUGGGGGGAGGGAAUAAAUGAUUUUUACUGCAAAGAAAGGUGAGGAGACUCAUUAGUGGCAAAACAAAGCCAUAAGCCAGACACCUCCAGAGGCACCAGAAGUUCAGAGCAAUGAAAAAGAUUCUGGAGAGGUUAGUGCCAUCUGUAAGUUUACGUGUUGAUAGCUUAGGGGGGAAACAAUGACAAUUAUUCAGAAAUACUGAUGAGAAAGUUCAUAAUUAAGCAAAACAAGAUUUAAACAGAAUGUAAAUAGUUGGAGGUAUUGUUCUCUGUUUUGUUUUUUCCUGAUUUUCUUGUGAUCUACCAUUUAGCAUCAUCCAGGAAGAGUGUAAGAUCCAGGGCCUGAUGAUACAGUUUCUGAUACACAACCUGCCCAGUGAUUUUGUCUGCAUAUUUCCCUUCCUCUGUGAAUGGGGUUGGCAACUACACCCACCAAGAAGUGACAGCAGUCGAUAGCUAGAAUAUUAAAGUCUGAUGUGUGUGACUAGGGUUCAAUGAAAAUACAUCAGGAAAGAUGAAACCCUUCCAAUUCAGUUGCACAUAUUGCUCUGCAAUUUUCAAAACCAAAAUACCCUGAGUCUCUAUUGAAACACAUUGCAGUGUCCCAUCACCCGUGGCUUUCAGAAUGUGAUCUGACAUUGUUUUCUCCAUUUCCCAUUUUCUCAGUUAAAUGGGAAGCAUAUUUGUAAAUGAUAUUUAUUUUGCUGUGAGUAAGGUUUGGAUUCCUUUCUCCUUCAUAGAUGUGUGCUUUACCUCUGCCCUCUCUUAAUGUAUUUCUAUGAAGUACAUAAAAAUGGGGCUCCAAAUCCAGACAAGCAUCUUCCUAGUUAUCAUGAUGAAGACAGGGAUGGGAAAUGUAUGUUGCUAAAAUGACUUUUAACCAUUUUUUACAUAAUUAUCUCUAUUUAUCCAUAUAGAAUUUUCUACCUCCCCUCUCAUUCUAAUUCUGUUGGAUGAUAAGGAUCUUGUUGCGUGUAGGAGAAGGAUACUUGAUGAAGGAAGCAGAUAGUUCUACCUUUUCCUACAUCUUUUCCAUAGUUCUAGCACUUUCUCUUUACAUUUCUCCCCUCUAUAGUCCUGAAAAUGAGAUCUUUGGGCAGCAUGAGGUGGAAGACUCCUUAUGUGGUGGUAGGUGGAGCCUAGUCAACAUUGAAUGAUGCAUAAAGCAUUGACUUUGAAUAAUGUGUGCAACUUGACAUCUGUGUGCUUUGGGGUCAAUAACCUACAUUUUCUGAGCCUCAAUUACCAUCCUUAAAAUAAGAAUAUUAUAGAAUAUGAUAAUUCAAAGCAAUUAAAGGAAAUAAUCCAUGCAGAGCACCCAUUUCUAAGAAAAGUAAGAAACAGAUGUGGGGGGUCACUUAACUCAUCUGUCAUCUACAUUCCUUCAUAAUAAAAUUAAGAUAUUCAAAUAAUUAAUGCUGUACACUUUACUGGGCCUGGGCCUAAACAUUUGCUUCAUGGAGUAUUCAUUUCAAUCCUAGGAAGUUAUAUCAUGAAUGUUUCUGACAGAUUAGGAAACUGAAGCUUACCAAAAUAAAUUAGGUGCCCUAAAUUAGGCUGAAACUAUUUGAUUUCAGAGGGCUGCUCUCACUUGCAAGUUUUAUAGACAUAGCUAUCCUACCUAAUAGACAAUAAGACGUGUACUUUGGUGAAGCCUCUUAAGGAUGAGGGAGACAGAAUCAUGCCAUAUAAACAAUGACAUACUUUAAAAAUAUUGGCAAAUUUAUCUCAAAAUUAUGUAAAACCAUCUUAUGCAAAAGUGAGAGUUUACCUUCCAUGAAAAUAAGAAUAUUUGGAAGACCAUCUUAAUUGAUAACUGUUAUGAAUUGAAACUUUUUUCAAGAAUGCAUUUUGUUUUUUGCAUCUGUUUUUUUUCAUAAAUUAUAUAAUAGCAUAUACCAAAGUUCUUUGAAAAGUAUAAAGGCUGCAGAGUUUCCAUUGUUGCUAAAUGAUAAUGAGCCCAAUGAAAAUCCAUGAGGAUGCAGGUUCAAUCCCUGGCCUUGCUCAGUGGGUUAACGAUCUGGUGCUGCUGUAGUGUAGGUUGCAGAUGCAGCUCAAAUCCAGUGUUACUGUGGCUGUGGCAUAGGCCAGCAGCUGUAGCUAUGAUUUGACCCCUAACCUGGGAACUUCCAUAUGUCACUGGUGUGGCCUUAAAAAAAAAAGUAGAAUGCUUAAUGUAUGUAUCAUUUAAAUCAAUGGCCUACUUGCCCGUAGGUAAUUUUGAACCACCUCAGCUCUUCUGUAUUGCCAUUGCUGAAGAAAAAAAAUAUUGUAUCAUUCUUUUCAUAGAUUAUCACAGAAUAUUGUGUAGAGAAUCUGAAAGAGAAUGGAUGUGUGUACAUGUAUAACUGAAUCAAUUUAUUGUACAGCAGAAGAUAUCACCACAUGUACGUCAACUGUACUUCAAUAAAACUUUUAAAAAUGAAACAUUCUGCUACUUUGCUGAAUUUGUUGAUCAGUUCAAUUAGUUUACCUUUCCACAGAAAAGAAAAUCAUGGACUUGGAGAAUAGACUGUGGUUGCCCAGGGGGAGGUGGAGGGAAUGGGAUGGAUUGGGAGCUUGGGGUUAAUGCAAACUAUUGCUUUUGGAAUGGAUUAACAGUGAGAUCCUGCUGUGUAGUGCUGAGAACUAUGUCUAGUUACUUACGACAGAGCAUGCUAAUGGGAGAAAAAAGUAUGUGUACAUGUAUGUGUAACUGGGUCCCCCUGCUGUACAGUGGAAAAAUAAAUUGUGUUGGAGAAAUAAUAAUAAAAAAAAAUGAAACAAAC